Molecule: ribosomal RNA, 428 nt
Filed under: uncultured bacterium
Lineage: Bacteria
Description: bacterial SSU rRNA
Rfam family: Bacterial small subunit ribosomal RNA
Source: RNAcentral
GUGGGGAAUAUUGGGCAAUGGGCGCAAGCCUGACCCAGCAACGCCGCGUGAAGGACGAAGGCCUUCGGGUUGUAAACUUCUUUGAUCAGGGACGAAACAAAUGACGGUACCUGAAGAACAAGCCACGGCUAACUACGUGCCAGCAGCCGCGGUAAUACGUAGGUGGCGAGCGUUAUCCGGAUUUACUGGGUGUAAAGGGCGUGCAGGCGGGCUGACAAGUCGGAUGUGAAAUUCCCGGGCUUAACUCGGGCGGGUCAUCCGAAACUGUUGGUCUUGAGUACUGGAGAGGAUAGUGGAAUUCCUAGUGUAGCGGUAAAAUGCGUAGAUAUUAGGAGGAACACCAGUGGCGAAGGCGGCUAUCUGGACAGUAACUGACGCUGAGGCGCGAAAGCGUGGGGAGCAAACAGGAUUAGAAACCCCUGUAGUCC